Periophthalmus magnuspinnatus is the source of this 116-nucleotide ribosomal RNA. NCBI's taxonomy places the organism in Eukaryota, Metazoa, Chordata, Actinopteri, Gobiiformes, Gobiidae. The record is from Ensembl.
CUCUGUCUAAACUUCCUUAUCAAAGCCCGAUCUCAUCCAAUCUCAGACGUUAAGCAAGGCUGGGCCUGGUUAGUGCUUGGAUGGAAGAACACUGGGAAUAUCAAGUGCCACAGUGG